AACUACUGAUCUAUAAUCCAAAAUCUCUCGUCAAGUCCACCAACUUAUACUCUUGUGCCAUUACCUGUAAUGCAAAUAAAACUGAGUGGGUCAGGCUUGCGAGCCUGGUGAGCAUAUAGGGUUUUCAACCCACAAUAAUAUAUUUAUUAUAUUCAAUCAUCAAACAAUCAACCCAAUUACCCAUCCCCAUUAUCUUCUUUAUUUCUUAAGGUUUUACCCUAAGAAUCGACUAUCCUUCCUUCAUUCAUUCCUAAGGAUUUACCUAAGGAAUUGGCACGAUACCAUUGUUGUCAAAGUUUAUCUAUCAGGUACUAAAUCCAUAGCUAUCAGGCACUAACUCCAUAGUCACCAAGGUUUAUGUAACAGGCGCUAACUCCAUAGUCACCAAGGUUCACUUAACUGGCGCAAACUCCAUAUUCGUCGGGGUUUAUCUCGUUUAUUGACAGUAUUGGUUCCGAUACAUCCUCUAGCAAUACAUAUCAAUGGGUUUUUAGAGUACACCGGUGAACAUCAAGUCUACAACACCUACAAGUUGCGAUCCUGCUAGUGUACCAUAGGACUGUCUAGAAUAGUCCGCGGUUGUCAUCCCUACUCUGCUGAAUGACGUGAGCCAUCAUUUGGGUAAAGGUUUCACUCAUUUUUCACCUAUCACACUCAUCUCAUGAUCUAUAUCAUCUUUCGUCUCAUCCUCAAACUAAUCUUUCCUCACACACCAACUAUUUCAUCUACCCAUGUUCUACCCAACACAUUUGUAGAUAUAAAUUACAUAUAUAGUUUAAAUCAUUUAAAAAUAUGUAUAAAACAUUCAUUCAACAACCAUCUCAAGUAAACAAACAAUGUAUAAACACAUAGCACGUAUUUCAUAGCAAAUACUUCAUAUCUAUGCGGUAGAAGAAAGUAACAACACACUCACACAAAACAUAUACUUAAUACAUUCAAGCAAUACUUGUAUUAAAAUCGUGUUAUGAAAGGGACUAUACACUCACUUGAUUAGACGAUGCUCGGACAACACUACGGCUUGUAAAAGCAGUAUUCUUCGGUAGAUCUGGAAGAUCUUCGCACACCAGGCUUCUCGCAGGCAGAGCUUCGGCUCGGAAACUCUUUUCUUCUAGGGAUCUUCGGGCUUUGGGACUUGCUUCGGGUCUCGGGAUGAUACCAGGGCUUCGGGGGGAGGGGGUUAAAAUAGGGCUUAGAGAGGGUAUCGGGAGUGGGAGAGAAGAGAUUGAGCAACCAAACUCGGCUGCCCCUUGAAUUCUAUUUAUAGGGCCAUUUUUCUGGAUUCACGUCGUGAGUUCAAUAGUCAUCAGGUGCAUCAUCGCAACUUGUGUUUUUCAGGCUCCAAAAGUCAUAAAUACUGAGUUCACGUCGUGAACUCUGACAGUUUUGGGGUUUCGUGCCUCGAACUUCAGAAAUUCAUAACUUUCGCAUACGAACUUCGUUUUCGACGUUCUUUAUAUCGACGCAUAGGUAAAAACAAGAUCUACAACUUUCAUUUAGACUUCGUCGGAUAAUUUUGACUCUAUUUUUAUUAUAUUAUUUAUAUAUUAUUUUUAGUAGGCCGGGACAGGAAAACUCCGUUAUAAACUCGUAACUUCUUCAUAUGUGGUCCGUUUUCGUCUUUCUUUUUACCGUUGGACUACAAUUGACGAGAUCUUCAAUUCUCGUUUAGAUUGUUUCAACUAAAUAUCGCUAGAUCUCAUAUUCGAACUUCGGGCUGCAUACUGCUAAUGCUGAAACUUCGAAAAAUCAUAACUUCCUCAUACGAAGUCAGAUUUAGACGUUAUUUUUAUACACGCUAUCGGUUUAACAUAUUCUACAACUUUCAUUUAUAUCGCUAAGGCCAAAUAUCUCUCUAACAUAAAUUCACUAUUUACGUCGCGCUGUGUCGUGUCGGUUCUGUCGCGAAACUUCGAUAGGUCAUAACUUUUUCGUUAUAACUCGGAUUUUGGCGUUCUUUAUAUGUACGGAAUCCCUGUAACAUAUACUAUAACUUAGUUAAGAUUAAUCCUUCUAAAUAAUCUUCCAUAAAAAAGUCAUUUUUGAUGCUUAUCGUCUCUAAAUUGACUAGCCCGGAUCUACGGGCGUUACAAUUAUCUCCCCUUAGGAUGAUUACGUCCUAGAAUCAUCAACGAAAAUAGGACUUGUAUAAUGAUUCCAUACAUUAUCUUUUCAUCCUAGGUAAUAAUCAUAACUUCUAUGUUUCUUCGAAUGACUAUCUAACUCUUGGACUUCUUGACCGCAAACGAUGCUCAAUCUUGCACCUGCCCUUCGUACGAUGUUGGACUUUCAAUCGUAACCUACGAGUUACAAAAUAAAUCCCUAUUGAGGACUCCUUCUUCUUCUUAGGAUAAGUACUUUCCUUUAUCUAUUGUAACAGACCGAUGGGUCGUGUUCUAAUGACCUCUCAUCGUAUGAUGCAACACUUAGACUCAAGUCUCUUAGAGUCAAAUUCCAAAAUGGAAUAUACCUUCCUUCAUAUUCUAAUGUGAUCUAAUCACAUUUUUACAUGUAGCAUUUCUAGCUACAAGCUUCCUUAACAACGAGCGCGAUGCUAUCAAUCGCAUUGAUUUCAAUCUUCUGACUUGAGUCAGAUGCUACCUCGAACUUGGUUCUAUGAACCACGUAACAAACUCAUCGUAGUCAGACUCAAUUUGAUAUGUCCGCUAGAGUCAGAAUAUCAAUCAUCUUUUUUGUCAUUACCAAAACAGUGGUAACGACAUACUUGAAUAAAAACAAACUCAAUUACAAGCUUCUUGGUAACCUUGUGACUUUCCCUGAUCCAAGCAUGAUCUUGUGCUUCCAGUAGCAUAACUCAUACUCGUCCCAAGUAUUGUCUCGCAGUCCCCAAGUCCUAAAAUCACAAAACAAUUUAACAUAUGCGAAUGUGUCCAACUAAUCAUAAAAAUUCUCCUAGACUCUACUAGGACUUCUUCCAUGUGCAUCUUCACUCAUCAAUUCUAGUUCAACUCAGUUGGUGAUGGACAUUCCUGACGAUGGGACAACUUCAAGAAUUACACCAAUCAUUCCAUCAUCCUGCUAAUUGAAGGUGUACUUCAGAUGUACCGUACUCCUCUAAACGUUCCGUAAUUUUAUCAAACAUAUUCUAAAGGCAAAAUACCACUCUUACAAUAUCUUCUGAUAGGUGUCAUUCACUAUCAUAAGCCUUUCAUUUCCUCCAUUUACUCAAUUCUCUACGAGUCUUCACCAUAAUGUUCUAUACACCAAAGCAGACGUUCGGUGUAUCGAGACGAGAAUAUAGAUAGAGGAAGGUUUAGACGUGUAAUCCUCCUUAUUACUCAGAAAAAUUACAUGCCAGUUCUAAUAUCGUAAUUAAACAUUUAGAACCCUGAGUAGAUAAAAUUUCUAGAUCCGGUCAAAAACAGACCAUAUAUCCAAACAAAUAAUAGCAUAUAAGGCAAACAUAUAACAUUUAGCACAUAAAAGCAUUUUAGGCAUCUUUCCUAAAAUAUACUAGUGCUCGUGUCUAAAAUAUGGUAGACACUCAUCUCACAGUCAUCGCUUAGCAUUUUAGGUUUAAGUCUAGAAAUCCUAUAAAUUCUUAGUUCACUGAAACUAAUGCUCUGAUACCAACUGUGACAUCCCCAAUUUCACGGCCAGAAAAGAUCGAUUUUUUUAUGCAUUGUUUUUAUAAUCAGAGUAAUCAUUUAAAGAAAACUGUUGCGGAAUUUGUCCAAAAAAAAUAUGAUAACCAUUUAUCAAAACAUUUCUUUAAAGAAAUGUAUUUUCAUUAAAUAAAAAAUCUUGGGAUGUCAUGUUCCGAUACAGACCAAAAGCAUAAACAGUAUAAAAUAGAACUUACAACAGUUAUUUUAACUACUGAUCUAUAAUCCAAAAUCUCUCGUCAAUUCCACCAACUUAUACUCUUGUGCCAUUACCUGUAAUGCAAAGAAACGCGAGUGGGUCAGGCUUGGGAGCCUAGUGAGCAUAUAGGGUUUUCAACCCACAAUAAUAUAGUUAUUAUAUUCAAUCAUCAAACAAUCAACCCAAUUACUCAUCCUCAUUAUCUUCUUUAUUUCUUAAGGUUUUACCCUAAGAAUCGACUAUCCUUCCUUUAUUCAUUUCUAAGGAUUUACCUAAGGAAUUGGCACGAUACCAUUGUUGUUAAAGUUUAUCUACCAGGUACUAAAUCCAUAGCUAUCAGGCGCUAACUCCAUAGUCACCAAGGUUCACUUAACUGGCGCUAACUCCAUAGUCGUCAGGGUUUAUCUUGUUUAUUGACAGU
Molecule: long non-coding RNA, 4243 nt
Filed under: Lactuca sativa (garden lettuce)
Lineage: Eukaryota; Viridiplantae; Streptophyta; Magnoliopsida; Asterales; Asteraceae
Description: long non-coding RNA (LSAT_LNC008454)
Source: RNAcentral